AUAGCGUAUAUUAAAGUUGUUGCAGUUAAAAAGCUCGUAGUUGGAUUUCGGCGUGCGCUUGGGCUGGUCGGCCGUCAAGGUCUGUACCGUUCAGGUCACGCCCCACUGUAGGAUACUCACCGCUGUCCUUAACUGGGUGGCGGUAAAAGGUAUAGUCUAUGGGGGAAACCCUGUAGGUUAUGCUGGGGUUCCUACUCUUUUACUUUGAGCAAAUUAGAGUGUUCAAAGCAGGCAAUCGGGCCUUGAAUACUUCAGCAUGGGAUAAUGGAACAGGACUGGGGUCCUGAUUUCGUUGGUUUCUAGGAUCUCAGUAAUGAUUAAUAGGGAUAGUUGGGGGCAUUAGUAUUUAAUUGUCAGAGGUGAAAUUCUCGGAUUUGUUAAAGACUAACUUAUG
This 394-nucleotide ribosomal RNA is filed under the name uncultured eukaryote. RNAcentral describes it as "SSU rRNA". It matches the Rfam family "Eukaryotic small subunit ribosomal RNA", at positions 594 to 945 of the family's 1831-position model. The record is from RNAcentral.